RNAcentral lists this ribosomal RNA (1390 nucleotides) under uncultured Synechococcus sp. RNAcentral describes it as "bacterial SSU rRNA". It matches the Rfam family "Bacterial small subunit ribosomal RNA". The record is from RNAcentral. Lineage: Bacteria; Bacillati; Cyanobacteriota; Cyanophyceae; Synechococcales; Synechococcaceae.
UUAGUGGCGGACGGGUGAGUAACGCGUGAGAAUCUGCCCUCAGGAGGGGGAUAACGGCUGGAAACGGCCGCUAAUACCCCAUAUGCCGAGAGGUGAAAUGAAUUUCGCCUGAGGAUGAGCUCGCGUCUGAUUAGCUAGUUGGUGAGGUAAUGGCUCACCAAGGCUUCGAUCAGUAGCUGGUCUGAGAGGAUGAUCAGCCACACUGGGACUGAGACACGGCCCAGACUCCUACGGGAGGCAGCAGUGGGGAAUUUUCCGCAAUGGGCGAAAGCCUGACGGAGCAACGCCGCGUGAGGGAUGAAGGCCUCUGGGCUGUAAACCUCUUUUAUCAAGGAAGAAGAUCUGACGGUACUUGAUGAAUAAGCCACGGCUAAUUCCGUGCCAGCAGCCGCGGUAAUACGGGAGUGGCAAGCGUUAUCCGGAAUUAUUGGGCGUAAAGCGUCCGCAGGCGGUUUUGAAAGUCUGUUGUUAAAGCGUGGAGCUUAACUCCAUUUCAGCAAUGGAAACUACAAGACUAGAGUGUGGUAGGGGCAGAGGGAAUUCCCGGUGUAGCGGUGAAAUGCGUAGAUAUCGGGAAGAACACCAGUGGCGAAGGCGCUCUGCUGGGCCAUAACUGACGCUCAUGGACGAAAGCCAGGGGAGCGAAAGGGAUUAGAUACCCCUGUAGUCCUGGCCGUAAACGAUGAACACUAGGUGUCGGGGGAAUCGACCCCCUCGGUGUCGUAGCCAACGCGUUAAGUGUUCCGCCUGGGGAGUACGCACGCAAGUGUGAAACUCAAAGGAAUUGACGGGGGCCCGCACAAGCGGUGGAGUAUGUGGUUUAAUUCGAUGCAACGCGAAGAACCUUACCAGGGUUUGACAUCCUGCGAAUCCCUUGGAAACUUGGGAGUGCCUUCGGGAGCGCAGUGACAGGUGGUGCAUGGCUGUCGUCAGCUCGUGUCGUGAGAUGUUGGGUUAAGUCCCGCAACGAGCGCAACCCACGUCUUUAGUUGCCAGCAUUUAGUUGGGCACUCUAGAGAGACUGCCGGUGAUAAACCGGAGGAAAGGUGUGGAUGACGUCAAGUCAUCAUGCCCCUUACAUCCUGGGCUACACACGUACUACAAUGCUACGGACAAAGGGCAGCAAACUCGCGAGAGCUAGCAAAUCCCAUAAACCGUGGCUCAGUUCAGAUCGUAGGCUGCAACUCGCCUACGUGAAGGAGGAAUCGCUAGUAAUCGCAGGUCAGCAUACUGCGGUGAAUACGUUCCCGGGCCUUGUACACACCGCCCGUCACACCAUGGAAGUUGGCCACGCCCGAAGUCGUUACUCCAACCCUUGUGGAGGAGGAUGCCGAAGGUGGGGCUGAUGACUGGGGUGAAGUCGUAACAAGGUAGCCGUACCGGAAGGUGC